UAUCCAAACUACUAUGGGAGCCGAACUUCGCCUUUGACUUCAAUUGCAGGAAGAGUCCGUCCGGACUCCUACGAGAGCCGGGCUUCAUCAUCAAUUCCGACCGCUGCCGAACCUCAGCCGACGGAUCUGCACUCCUGAGCAGACCGCGGUGACGGGAAACACUGCUCCACUCCCACGGCAGACCCCACGCAACCCCAUUACUCUCUGACAGGCUGUAUCAACGGCCAUGAUUCUACUCCAC
RNAcentral lists this long non-coding RNA (241 nucleotides) under Elaeis guineensis (African oil palm). RNAcentral's name for it is "long non-coding RNA (EGUI_LNC060954)". Lineage: Eukaryota; Viridiplantae; Streptophyta; Magnoliopsida; Arecales; Arecaceae. The record is from RNAcentral.